ACAGGGCGCACACGCUAUGCCGAGCGCUGAGCACCCCCGUCCCACAGGGAGCCAUCAGCUGAGUGCAGGUUCCUCAGCGAGGCACGGAGCAGCGGAGGCCUGCACAUUACCACCUACCCACUGCAGCAAUACCCGUUCCUCCAGCCCAAGCCACCCAGCACCCUGCCGCCGAGCCAGGAGGUGACAGCAAGAGUGGGCAAGGACGGCUGUGUCUCCCGAGGCUGGCGGAAGAGACGGUAGCCUGCUCUGGCGGGCAAGGAAGGUUCUGCCACCUCAACAGAGGAUGAGCCAGCACCUUCUCACAGACACCUCUCCUGGACACCAGAGAACCUCCGGCCGUAACCCAGCACCCAACAGCUGGGCAGCACGGGCAGCAACAGAUGCUGGGAGAAAAGCG
Molecule: long non-coding RNA, 397 nt
Organism: Cuculus canorus (common cuckoo)
Lineage: Eukaryota; Metazoa; Chordata; Aves; Cuculiformes; Cuculidae
Exons: 3
Source: RefSeq, a predicted model, not a curated record